GCUGGGUGUGGUGGUGGGCACCUGUAAUCCCAGCUACUUGGGAGGCUGAGGCAGGAGAAUCGCUUGAACCUGGGAGGCGGAGGUUGCAGUGAGCUGAGAUUGCGCCACUGCACUCCAGCCUGGGCUACAGAGUGAGACUCUGUCUCAA
Molecule: non-coding RNA, 148 nt
Filed under: Gorilla gorilla gorilla (western lowland gorilla)
Lineage: Eukaryota; Metazoa; Chordata; Mammalia; Primates; Hominidae
Source: Rfam by way of RNAcentral